Cynoglossus semilaevis (tongue sole) is the source of this 291-nucleotide long non-coding RNA. RefSeq lists it as uncharacterized. The record is from RefSeq and is a predicted model, not a curated record. The transcript has 2 exons. NCBI's taxonomy places the organism in Eukaryota, Metazoa, Chordata, Actinopteri, Pleuronectiformes, Cynoglossidae.
GUGAACUGACUUUCUCUUUCCACAGGGACAUUUUCUCUUUGGGCUUUGGCCCAUUUCGCUGGGUGUGCACGUCUGGUGACCCCCAAGAUCUUGUCGUAACAGAUAAUAUUGCUGCUACUGUCCUGGAGGAAAUAGGUGUCAAUGUGACUGACGGGGUCAGGCAGCAGUACAGUGACAACAUCCGCUGGAUCAGAGAGGCUGGGAAACACAAAAUGGUCGUUGGAUCCCAGGCCAGAAUCCUCUACUCUGACCAGAGAGGAAGAGUCUGCAUUGCUUUGGCGAUAAACCAGG